ACUGAAGGCAGCAGUAGGGAAUAUUGCACAAUGGGGGGAACCCUGAUGCAGCAACGCCACGUGUGGGAAGAAGCAUUUCGGUGUGUAAACCACUGUCGUGAGGGAAUAAUGCUUGAUUUCGGUCAAGUUGAAUGUACCUCGAAAGGAAGCACCGGCAAACUUCGUGCCAGCAGCCGCGGUAAUACGCGGGGUGCAAGCGUUGUUCGGAAUCACUGGGCGUAAAGGGAGCGUAGGCGGAGACGCAAGCAGUCUGUACAAUCCCGGGGCCCAACCCCGGACCUGCAGACUGGACUGUGUCUCUUGGAUAGUUCAGGGGCAGGCGGAAUUCCUGGUGUAGCGGUGGAAUGCGUAGAGAUCAGGAAGAACACCGAUGGCGAAGGCAGUCUGCUGGGGACUCAUCGACGCUGAGGCUCGAAAGUGCGGGUAGCAAACAGGAUUAGAUACCCUGGUA
RNAcentral lists this ribosomal RNA (451 nucleotides) under uncultured Fibrobacter sp. Its description in RNAcentral is "bacterial SSU rRNA". It matches the Rfam family "Bacterial small subunit ribosomal RNA", at positions 341 to 792 of the family's 1533-position model. The record is from RNAcentral. Lineage: Bacteria; Pseudomonadati; Fibrobacterota; Fibrobacteria; Fibrobacterales; Fibrobacteraceae.